CCUACGGGGGGCUGCAGUGAGGAAUAUUGCGCAAUGGAGGCAACUCUGACGCAGCCAUGCCGCGUGCAGGAAGAAGGCGCUACGCGUUGUAAACUGCUUUUAUCCGGGAAGAAACCCCUCGACGUGUCGAGGGUUGACGGUACCGGAGGAAUAAGCACCGGCUAACUUCGUGCCAGCAGCCGCGGUAAUACGAAGGGUGCAAGCGUUAUCCGGAUUCAUUGGGUUGAAAGGGUGCGUUUGCGUCAGGUUAGAAAUCCUGCAGCUCAACUGUAGACUUGCCAUUGAUACUGGCGUUCUUGAGUGCGCUUGAAGUAGGCGGAAUGUGCCGUGUAGCGGUGAAAUGCUUAGAUAUGGCACAGAACACCAAUUGCGAAGGCAGCUUACUAAGGCGAUACUGACGCUGAGGCACGAAAGCGUGGGGAUCGAACAGGAUUAGAUACCCGUGUAGUC
This 450-nucleotide ribosomal RNA is filed under the name uncultured bacterium. Its description in RNAcentral is "partial 16S ribosomal RNA". It matches the Rfam family "Bacterial small subunit ribosomal RNA", at positions 338 to 795 of the family's 1533-position model. The record is from RNAcentral.